AAAAGAAAAGAAAAGAAAAAAGAAAAGAAAAAAAUAAAAAAAAAAAGAAAAGAAAAUAGGUUUGAAACUCAUGACUUGCAAGCUUCUCUCUCCAGAUGCAUCCUACCUUAUUUAUGAGGGGAAUUGUGGUCCUGCACAUGCUGCCAUCACUGGACUUUAACUUGGAGCUGAGCUAAUGACACCUUGCCUCCCAUUGCUCAUCAUCAUCAGGUUUGACCUGUGCAGUGCAGAGCAGCUAUCACAGAGCAGAGGGAAAGCAGAUGUGGCCGGUGCCAUUCACGGGCAGCCCCAGGCCCACAUAGGAUUUCGGAGGGGCUGGUGCUGGCACAGAAGGUGUGGGCAGUUUGGCAGGAGGAGGGCUGGCUGUGGGGAACAGCCACUAGCAUCUCCUCAUGGGAGUGAUACAUCCCCACCUGAAGAAAGCCUUCCCUGGGUCCCUUCUGCUGCCAUAAAAUACCUGGAAAAGAGUUGCCUGCCUAGGUGGGUAGCCAUGGUAAUUCAUCUCGAGCAGUUUCAGUACGAGAUCACAGAAAAAGGUCUUACUCUUUAUCAGCUGAAGCCUUCAUGCCUUUCCCCAUCCCCACGUUCUGCAAUUCCCAUCAUUAAAUGACAGUAGCUCUUACAAUUAGGCCCAGCCCAUGGUCCUGUUAGAGAAAGAGGUGAUUAGAGUGAUUCUUAUCACAAAGACGACGGCCAUUAGAGGAGAAAUUUGAUGUAUUUUGUCUUAUUUCCAUGAACCAACAGGUCAGGUUUACCCAGGUGGCUCUCACUACAAAAUACACAGAACAAGCCCGGGAACACUGUUGUCUCUGCACAAAUGCUGGGGCAGCUCCAUGGUGAUAGAAGCAGUUAUAACUCUGUCAAAGCUGAUUCCAGCUUACAGUCCGUAAUGUAAUGAUCUAAUCCAAACCAUUUCUGCACAAGGCACUCCAUGCUUAUUUUUUAGUUUUCUGCUUUUUAAGUUAUUGAAUUUAAAAAGUUUAAAUGUAAAUUAACACUUCUAUUUUUGGCUCUGGCUAUUCACCCAAUAAAUACAUGAGAGAAAAAAUGCUAUUUUCAGUCCAAACGUUGACCUGUACCUUACGGUGAAAGCACACCCAGGGAAAAUGAAUGGGCUGGCUUGUAGUAUAAGGGCAAUUCAAAGCGAACAAGGGGGGCAGGACAUCCUCCUCCUCUUGCAGUCAUGCUGGCCAGGCUUUCAUUUAAAGCCAAAUGAACAAAUAGGGUAAGUUCACCAUACUUGCCUGACACUUUUGCUUUCCACUACUGUGUUUCUUUCUUCACUGGUGUGAAAAGCAGGCAUCUAUUUAUGAGGGAAGGGAUUGCACUUUUCUUUCUUUCUUUUUUUUUUUUUUUCUUUUUUUUUAAUUUUGUUUUAAUUUUUCAGUCAUUUAUUAAUGCUAUCUUGUUUUAUGACCCACCUGGUCCCAUGCCAUGCUGAUCUAGAGAGCCUUGUUUUCCUGACAGCUGGCUGAUCACCAGCACAAUCUGAUGGAGAACUGGGGGACUCAAUGGAAGGACCUUGACCCCCCAGCCAGCCGCUCUUUGUUGGGUGCUUUCAGGCCGAGGCCUGAAAAGACGAAGGCGAUUUCUAUUUGUCAAAGUGAAGAGACAACAGGAGAAAGAAUAAAGAAAAUCUUCUAAGCAGUCAGCUGAACUUGUUCAGACUGAUACCAGCUUGCGGUAUUCAGACGGCAGCUAACCCAAGGUUUCCCUAACCUUGGCAGAAGUGCGGGAAAUAGUUGCAGGAGGAUGAAGUGUUCUUGAACUGUUUCUCCAGUGUAUCAAGCACAAGAAGGCUUUUCUGCAAUAUUAAGCAUGUGCCUCUCUUUUCUUCCCCUUUAAAGAAACUUUUUAUUGUAGACUAUAAAAGGGGGAAAAAAAUCAAUAUCUGUCUGUUUGCGGACCCCUGUGCUGCUUCUACACUUCCCAAGGACAAAGAUGCAAAUCAGGACCUCCCCAGUAUAAUAGCAUUUAGAAGGCAAAUUACUUUUUAAAGUCUUACACUAAAAGCAAAAGGUUAAAAGAAAUAGCUGUACUCAAGUGUCGUUUUAAACAAAAAGGAAAAAAAUAUUAACCACAUUCUUGAAAACAUCAGCCAGAGCUUCCCUGGAAGUAUCAAAAACAGCAUUCCAGAUAAAAGCAGCAUGAUGUGAAAAGACCUGAUCAGCAACAGAUUGAUGUCUGGGCUUGGGGACUAAUGUAAGAACUUAAAGACUUGGCUAGAGAAUAUAUCUCGAGAAGCAUAAACAUAUAAGAGGAUGCCAAACCAUGAAAGGCUUCCUUUGCACUGAGAAUUCAGAAAUCGGCGUGUUGACAAGCAGGGAAGCCAAUGCUGCAAGAAAAGCACACAGGGUGAUGAAUAAACGCAGCCUUUAGGAGCCUAGGAUGAGAUUGAGAAAGGGGCCAACCUAUUUAGGCACAGCUGGCAGUCUCUACACCCAGCAUUUAGGUGCUGUCAAGCCCCAGACCUCUCCUCCCAGCUGCCACCCAGUGCUGCUGGUGCUGGCGUCCCACAGACUGGAGCUGCUGGAUUAGAUGCUGCCCAGCUGCUCCAAAGCCUUAUUCCAUGCCACUGUAGCCAGGAUGCAUCCUCAAAAGUGUAUGUGCUGGCUGGCCCUAACACAGGCGCAACCAAGGUCCAAGCUAUGUGUGUCACAUUGGAUGCAACAUGCCUGUCACCAUACAAGUGGAAAAUAUCUCUACCUGACUCCUGCACCUGAUGGGCAUCCUAUGUGAUUCAGUCUUAGAGCCUUCCAGGAGACUCCAUGUGGACCUCUUCCUGUGCACCAGGCCUUAGGCUGGAGGUGCAGUGUUUGCCCACCACAUUGCCUUGGGGUUGCCUCUUGCUUGUGCUUCCCGGAGGAGAGGCAGUGGUUCUGCUGCUUCCUGCUGCCUCCUAAAUCAAUGCCCUGCUGGCAGGAAAACCAUUGUAUUGGUGGCAGCAUCAGCCGGAGCUGUGCUUUUGAGGAAGGGAUGCAAACUCUUCUCCUCGAGUGUCCCAGGCAGCCAGCAGUGGGGCUGCCUGUGGGCUGGGGCAUGUGUGGGACGUGCUUUUCUGGCACCUCUCUCCCCGGUCCCAUCUCGCUUUCUUCACAGGCAGCCUCCAAACCUACGGAAACCACCUGCCAAAGCUCAGUGGAUGGGGGCACUUCGUCUGCCCCACACAUCACCUCCUGCCAGCCCUGCAGCCUGGCCAGCCAGUGGGCAAUGCCAGCGACCACUCUUCCCUGCCCAGAUCUGCUCGGGGAAGCUCUGCGAGAAGGCUGGCAGCCCUAUAGCACUCGUGCUAGGGCUCUGACCUCUUUUCUGCCACCUUGCAGAGCUGGGGGAGCAGUCACAGUGGUGGCAGAGCCCAUCUUGCUGUGAUGAACCUGGUGCCUACAAACAGUGAUGGAGCCCCCUACACGGUCAAAGGGUUUCAGCUCCUCCCUAUGGUGUUUGUGUCAUAUCUGGCAUUUGAGACACAGCUGUGCCAUGUUGUGUGUUGGCCUGCUACUCCCCCUCCUUACAGCAACCCAGGAUAUCAAAUCUGUGAGGUUGGCCUGGCCGCAUGGGCAGGCAGCAUGCCUAUCAGCCAGCAGAGCAGGAGCCUGAUCACACUACGCCCACCACAGUAGUAAUUCCCGUGGCAAUACUGAAGAAGAAGUCAGGAAACUGGUCAAGCUGUCCGAUGCGAACAUUUUAUCCUCUCUACAAGACUGCUGAAAGAGUGAAAUGCAUCCAAAGAAGUUUUAUCUGAGGAGGUAAUUCUAAUUGUUCCCUGUUCUGCUGUUAUCUGAUGGGAACACUCUCGGCAGCGACCUCCUUACUGAGUGAAGUAAGCCCUACACAACACCAGAGAGGCAGCUUGAAAUUAGGAUACAGAAAACUGAUGCCAAAAAUAUGUCAGCUUGGAAGGUCAUUAAGAAUUAUCCAUUUGUGCAUGUUGCAUUGUGCAUGCCAACAGUACCUUAAGUGAUUACCUUAGAGGGACAGAUUUGUCUAAUGAACAUAUGAAUUACCAAUAUAAAAUUGUGAUUGAUAAAUCAAAUAAGAAUUUAUAAUUUGGCAAUGUAUCUAACCGGGAUGGAGUUUCACUGGAUGUGGAUGCAAGAGGCGCCGCUGGUGUUCUUUGCUAAAAAUGACUCUCGGUGGUAUUUUUCCACUUUAUGACACCACAGCUUUAGGUGCCUGAUCUGAGAGCUAGCUUGCUCGUACCUCAGGCAGAUACAACUUGUUCUAAAGAGCUUGACUCACAGUUUCCAGGAGUGUUUUUUUUUUUUUUAAACCUCUCUGCCCACACCUUCAUUGAUUUUAUUUUUUAAGCUCAGCUUAGAAAUUAGCCUGGACUGGUACUGGCAUACAAAUGCUUCGUUUUUAAACUAUGUAAUAAUUGGCAUAAUUUGGGUUAUUUUCAAAUUUAGGAACUCAGAUAAAAGCAGCUGACAUUUAGCUCUGCUUUUCUGCACUGACAUAGUUCACGAAGGAGUUUGAUUUUUUUUUUCUAUGAAAGUUAGGCUACAUUAGUAGUUUACUCAGUUGGCAAUGGCAUUUCCUACUCACAGAAUUUAAAAAGUCUAGGAGAAUAACAGGUUUAGGUUUAAAAAAAUGCCUUGUACAGGUGGGCUUUUAUUUUUUUUUCCAAAGCUUUAGAGUCCUAUUGGAUAUGACCAAUGCAAUAUACACAUCGUGAUUUUAAUUAAGCUGUUACUAGCAGGUGUACUUCAUGUAACAUUUACAAUAAAUUCUUAGUGACUCCUUACAGCACUGCUGUCUUCUUGGCUUGUUAGGCUCAGGGCAGUCCCAGUGCAUGUGAGCAACAACAAAAAUUUUUGGUAGCAGCUCCUGUUGGAGCUACUACCAUCUAGCACUUGUCAAACUGCACACUAGAGAUCCUGACAAUAAGAAAGUACCAAAGGAAUUGUUACGUUUCAUUACUCUGUGUGAUCAAUGCCUCCUUGUGUGCUAAUGAACCAAAGCUAGGUCAUAAUUGCUUUUAAAGAUAAAAUUAUUUAGGAUUUCUUUGAUUUGAUAUAAAGGAGAAACUUCGGUCUGUCAGGUCUGUGAUGCAUUGAGCACCCUGUCUCUUGCACAUUCAGAAUUGCCAUAGUAAAACCUGCUGUUUAUCUGAGGUGGAAAUUUCAAAGGUGUUAAUGUUGGAGCAUGCUAUAAAAUGGGUUGUGUGGUCACAAAAUGCACAAAAUCAGUUACUGAAGCCCUGCCCAUUGUGAGGCCAGACGGAAACCAUGCUGGCCCGUGGCCCCCUGGUGCAUCCAUGGCUGGGAACCAUGGCCUGGAAACGCGCCUGCACCAGGAGCCAGCCCUGUGACUCCUGUGGCUCCUCCUGGCCUUGGCCAAACCUCCUUCAGCAGGCUGUACCACUGCUUUUUGGUAGCACUGUGGGAUGUCUCUGUGGCUGGAAACCAGCCACCUCUGGUUUCUCCAUCCUGCCAUCUCCAGCCUGCUGCAGGUGAGGGAGCUCUGCUGCCCUGCAAAAGUACCACAUCCAUGGCACUUCCUAAUUCAUCACAUGCUGUCUUUAAAGUGAGAAAAUGCCCCACAAGAAUAAAUAUGAAAGUAAAUGCACUGAUGUUUGGGACUAUAACCAGAAAACAGAGCAUUGGGACUCAAAAACAGAUGUCAUUGUGUCUGUGGACUGUACAGAUAACAUAACAAUACCACAUUGUACAGAGUGCUCUGUGAUGCGUAGGGUUACGAGGGGAGUGAAGGGGCAUGGGAGCCCAUGAGACCUGGUCCAUCACAGCCAUGUGUUCAAGGUCUCCACUGGAGACCACAAAGGAAAACCAGGUAAAAAUGUAAAGGACAGCGUUUCACCAGGUGAUGCAGAAUUUUCCUUGUCAUCACCUUUGGCACUGAUGAAAUCCAUGAGAAAGUGCUUUGAGGGUGCUGGCAGGAGGCCACCAUACAGUUGCCCUAGUACGCAACGGGUGGGUGGGAGGUGGCAAGACCAAACAGGUCAGCUCAUAAAUGAAAUCAGAGCCUCACGAGUAAGCUAUGGGCAGCUCCCUUGGAGCAAGAGAGGACCCAGCUGUUAUUGCUGAGCUAGCGUGCUUUGCACACACAUAGGAAGAGUUCUGUUAAACGGAUGACACCCUUUAUAUAUAUUCAUAACACCGAAUUUCAUAGCUAAGUUUAUCAGUGGCUCCCCACAGAGACACCAUGUGUGGGAGAUGUUGUUUUGCCCCUGCAGUUGUACCCAGGACCUGGCUGCCACCAGCGCUGGUACACCAAGGGUGCUGCAAGAGCACUGCAAGGGCAUUGCACGGACAUUGCAAGGGUGUCGCAAGGGCAGCGGGGACCUCACAUCUGCUGGCCUGAGGAGCAGCUCAGGUCCCUCGCCACCCCCCUGGCUGUGUUCACACCCCCUCUCGAUGGAAAGGGCAGCUUUGUGGCCGGCAGGAGCGGGGUUGAGGAGGGGCGCGGGAUGCAGGCCCGCGUCUCCGCCAGUCCCAGGGAGGCUGCAGAGCAAAGCAUGACACAACCCCUUAGACAUUUAGGGAGGGGGCACGUUAUUUUAAUAUCCUUUUUUGUGCUUAAUAGAAAAGGGGUUUGUGGUUGAUUCUUUAUUAUCUCCGACAGCAGUUCUCGCUUCGGCUCCUCUUUCUUUAACUGCCAAGCUAGCAUUUUCCUUUUUUAUUGCUCCUUUCUUAGAGGUUUGCUUUGGACUAUUGCCAGUUAUCAUUUCCCAUUAGGGCAAAUAUUGCAUCAAACUCAUGAUUAGGGAUUUGAGGGCUUGGGAAUAUUAUUUUCGAACAUUUGUCUUUCAUUUUCUGAGAGUUUUUUUUUUUUCUCCUCUCUUUGCACACACACAUACGCACUCAUGCCUGUAUAUCUGGGGAUGUACAUAUGUGUGUGUAUUUUUAUAGAGAGGGAGAAAGAGGGAGCUUCAUGCAUCUGAUUGCACAUGUAUGUUUCCGUGGAGGCAUGUGCCUGUUUGUGCGUAAAGUUUUAACCCCCCUUGCCCAGGCCAAGGGAGGCUCUUUCCUCAUGAGGGAUUUCCGAGGAAGCUGAAGGCACCCACGGAAGGAGGAUGACAGAUUUGUUUGUGUGUGCUGGGCUCAGUGCUCCAGCUCCGCGCAAGGGAAGGUGCUAACGCAUGCUGUCAGCGGGGAGGGGACGGCACGGCGAGGAGCUGCUGCAAGUGUCACUGCCCUUGUGGAGCCGGGCAGCAAUGCUGCCUGUGCCUGAGCCUGCCUUCUGCCAUGCCACAUGCACUGCUGUGGGCUUCAGGGAGCCUGGAGUUUGGCUCUAUCAAUCUCCAGCAUUCAGGCACCGCUGUGAUCUUCAAAAGCCUGUCCAGCUGCUGCCUGCUCUCCUGAUGCUGGCUCACAAA
Molecule: long non-coding RNA, 7336 nt
Organism: Anas platyrhynchos (mallard)
Lineage: Eukaryota; Metazoa; Chordata; Aves; Anseriformes; Anatidae
Source: RefSeq, a predicted model, not a curated record